Drosophila mojavensis is the source of this 965-nucleotide long non-coding RNA. RefSeq lists it as uncharacterized. The transcript has 2 exons. The record is from RefSeq and is a predicted model, not a curated record. NCBI's taxonomy places the organism in Eukaryota, Metazoa, Arthropoda, Insecta, Diptera, Drosophilidae.
ACAUGUAUACAUGUACAUGUGUAUAUGUGUAAUAGGCGCCGCCAUUUUCCGUGUGAUCCAUGUAACAAGCUGAAAGAAAGACCUGGACCUAGGGUUGGCAAUGUGCGCAUGAAAAACAAACCAACCGUUGUCUGCAAUGCUGCGUUUUAUUGUAUUUGGCUAUGUAAAAAGCUUCCUAUUAAGGUCGCAACACACACAGCUGACAAACCAUUUUUAGCAAGUACAAUUCGCUAAUAUAGAAUUUGCUACGUUUGUUGCUUCAAAACAUUUGACAACCCUGCAGUCAACCUUUUUCUUUGUUGACAUUUUUGCCUAUGUGUGUGUGCGAGAGCGUUGUGCAUGUAGUUUAUCGGCGAUGGAGCUGCCACAAGUCUUAAGUUUUUAUGCAGCUCUAAAAUCAAAAUAGUGCAACAACAAAAUUGUAUUUGUAUACGAAAUAAUAUUCGAAAUAGCACUUCCAUUGCUUAUUUAUUUACAUAGGCAUACAAAAGUAGAUUAUCCAAAAUACCGAAAACUUUACUCAAAAGUGGCAACCUCGCGCAGGUCACUCUCAUUUAUAUGGUCUGCAAUGCGCAUGAGUGCAUAGUAGCCUCUCUCCCUCUCUCUUGCAGCCAAGUGUCUGGCCGUCUUUCAAACAGCUGAGAGCUGCAGCAGCUUUUAGGCACAAAAAAAAAAAUAGAAUACAUACAGACAUACACAUUUGCAACUAUUGCAGCAGUAGACAAUACGACAAAGCCGCUAUCGCUGUAAUACUGCAUAUUAUACAGAAUGGUCGUCGGUUCGAAUCAUACGCGGCGCAGUGAGACUGCCGGCAGAUAUACAAAUAGCAGCAGUAGCAACAGCGGCAACACGAAUAGUGGCAACAACUCCACCAGCGCAACGUCUUCAAUUACAAACGCAUCGUCAGUGGCGGCGGCGACGACGUUGUCGUCGUCGUCGGCGUCGUCAGUGUCACACAACAACAA